AUUGAACGCUGGCGGCAGGCCUAACACAUGCAAGUCGAGCGGAUGAAGGGAGCUUUCUCCUGGAUUCAGCUGCGGACGGGUGAGUAAUUCCUAGGAAUCUGCCUUGUAGUGGGGGAUAACGUCCGGAAACGGGCGCUAAUACCGCAUACGUCCUGAUGGAGAAAGUGGGGGAUCUUCGGACCUCACGCUAUCAGAUGAGCCUAGGUCGGAUUAGCUAGUUGGUGGGGUAAAGGCCUACCAAGGCGACGAUCCGUAACUGGUCUGAGAGGAUGAUCAGUCACACUGGAACUGAGACGCGGUCCAGACUCCUACGGGAGGCAGCAGUAGGGAAUCUUGGACAAUGGGCGAAAGCCUGAUCCAGCCAUGCCGCGUGUGUGAAGAAGGUCUUCGGAUUGUAAAGCACUUUAAGUUGGGAGGAAGAGAAGUAAGUUAAUACCUUGCUGUUUUGACGUUACCAACAGAAUAAGCACCGGCUAACUUCGUG
RNAcentral lists this ribosomal RNA (484 nucleotides) under uncultured bacterium. RNAcentral's name for it is "partial 16S ribosomal RNA". It matches the Rfam family "Bacterial small subunit ribosomal RNA", at positions 30 to 507 of the family's 1533-position model. The record is from RNAcentral.